GGGUUGUGAGGUUAAGCGACUAAGCGUACACGGUGGAUGCCCUGGCAGUCAGAGGCGAUGAAGGACGUGCUAAUCUGCGAUAAGCGCCGGUAAGGUGAUAUGAACCGUUAUAACCGGCGAUUUCCGAAUGGGGAAACCCAGUGUGACUCGUCACACUAUCAUUAACUGAAUCCAUAGGUUAAUGAGGCGAACCGGGGGAACUGAAACAUCUAAGUACCCCGAGGAAAAGAAAUCAACCGAGAUUCCCCCAGUAGCGGCGAGCGAACGGGGAGGAGCCCAGAGCCUGAAUCAGCAUGUGUGUUAGUGGAAGCGUCUGGAAAGGCGCGCGAUACAGGGUGACAGCCCCGUACACAAAAGCGCAUGUGCUGUGAGCUCGAUGAGUAGGGCGGGACACGUGGUAUCCUGUCUGAAUAUGGGGGGACCAUCCUCCAAGGCUAAAUACUCCUGACUGACCGAUAGUGAACCAGUACCGUGAGGGAAAGGCGAAAAGAACCCCGGCGAGGGGAGUGAAAAAGAACCUGAAACCGUGUACGUACAAGCAGUGGGAGCACC
This 552-nucleotide ribosomal RNA is filed under the name Salmonella enterica subsp. enterica. RNAcentral's name for it is "bacterial LSU rRNA". It matches the Rfam family "Bacterial large subunit ribosomal RNA", at positions 1 to 583 of the family's 2925-position model. RNAcentral also lists the same sequence under 1 other name. The record is from RNAcentral. Lineage: Bacteria; Pseudomonadati; Pseudomonadota; Gammaproteobacteria; Enterobacterales; Enterobacteriaceae.